GUGGGGAAUCUUCCGCAAUGGACGAAAGUCUGACGGAGCAACGCCGCGUGAGUGAAGAAGGUUUUCGGAUCGUAAAGCUCUUUCGUUAGGGACGAACGUGCUCUUUGUGAAUAAUGAGGAGUAAUGACGGUACCUAAAUAAGAAGCCACGGCUAACUACGUGCCAGCAGCCGCGGUAAUACGUAGGUGGCAAGCGUUGUCCGGAAUUAUUGGGCGUAAAGCGCGCGCAGGCGGGAUAUCAAGUCUGUCUUAAAAGUGCGAGGCUCAACCUCGUGAGGGGACAGAAACGGGUAUUCUUGAGUGUCGGAGAGGAAAGUGGAAUUCCAAGUGUAGCGGUGAAAUGCGUAGAGAUUUGGAAGAACACCAGUGGCGAAGGCGACUUUCUGGACGAUGUCUGACGCUGAGGCGCGAAAGCUAGGGGAGCGAACGGGAUUAGAUACCCUGGUAGUCC
This 450-nucleotide ribosomal RNA is filed under the name uncultured bacterium. Its description in RNAcentral is "partial 16S ribosomal RNA". It matches the Rfam family "Bacterial small subunit ribosomal RNA", at positions 354 to 796 of the family's 1533-position model. The record is from RNAcentral.